GCUUGCUUUCUUUGCUGGCGACCGGCGCACGGGUGAGUAACACGUAUCCAACCUACCCUUUACUCGGGGAUAGCCUUUCGAAAGAAAGAUUAAUACCCGAUAGCAUAAUGAUUCCGCAUGGUUUCAUUAUUAAAGGAUUCCGGUAAAGGAUGGGGAUGCGUUCCAUUAGGUUGUUGGUGGGGUAACGGCCCACCAAGCCUUCGAUGGAUAGGGGUUCUGAGAGGAAGGUCCCCCACAUUGGAACUGAGACACGGUCCAAACUCCUAGGGAGGCAGCAUG
RNAcentral lists this ribosomal RNA (279 nucleotides) under uncultured bacterium. Its description in RNAcentral is "partial 16S ribosomal RNA". It matches the Rfam family "Bacterial small subunit ribosomal RNA", at positions 78 to 353 of the family's 1533-position model. The record is from RNAcentral.